RNAcentral lists this ribosomal RNA (97 nucleotides) under Caerostris darwini. The record is from RNAcentral. Lineage: Eukaryota; Metazoa; Arthropoda; Arachnida; Araneae; Araneidae.
GCGAAUAUACCGGUUCUCGUUAGAUCACCGAAGUCAAGCAUCAUUGGGCGCGGUCAGUACUUGGGUGGGUGACCACCUGGGAACACUGCGUGCCGUU